This 347-nucleotide ribosomal RNA is filed under the name uncultured bacterium. Its description in RNAcentral is "bacterial SSU rRNA". It matches the Rfam family "Bacterial small subunit ribosomal RNA", at positions 917 to 1267 of the family's 1533-position model. The record is from RNAcentral.
GGGCCCGCACAAGCGGUGGAGCAUGUGGUUUAAUUCGAUGAUACGCGAGGAACCUUACCAGGGCUUAAAUGCAGAAUGACAGAUUGGGAAACCAGUCCUUCUUCGGACAUUUUGCAAGGUGCUGCAUGGUUGUCGUCAGCUCGUGCCGUGAGGUGUCAGGUUAAGUCCUAUAACGAGCGCAACCCCUAUUCUUAGUUGCCAGCGGGUAAUGCCGGGAACUCUAAGGAGACUGCCAGCGCAAGCUGCGAGGAAGGUGGGGAUGACGUCAAAUCAUCACGGCCCUUACGUCCUGGCUACACACGUGCUACAAUGGAUGGUACAAUGGGCAGCCACUACGCGAGUAGGAG